This 457-nucleotide ribosomal RNA is filed under the name uncultured bacterium. RNAcentral describes it as "partial 16S ribosomal RNA". It matches the Rfam family "Bacterial small subunit ribosomal RNA", at positions 338 to 795 of the family's 1533-position model. The record is from RNAcentral.
CCUACGGGAGGCAGCAGUGAGGAAUAUUGCACAAUGGGGGAAACCCUGAUGCAGCGACGCCGCGUGAGUGAAGAAGUAUUUCGGUACGUAAAGCUCUAUCAGCAGGGAAGAAAAAAAGUCCUUUGGACUUUGGACGGUACCUGACCAAGAAGCCCCGGCUAACUACGUCCCAGCAGCCGCGGUAAUACGUAGGGGGCAAGCAUUAUCCGGAGUUACUGGGUGUAAAGGGAGCGUAGACGGCUGUGCAAGUCUGAAGUGAAAGGCCAGGGCUCAACCCUGGGACUGCUGUGGAAACUGUGGAGCUAGAGUGCUGGAGAGGUAAGUGGAAUUCGUAGUGUAGCGGUGAAAUGCGUAGAUAUUAGGAGGAACACCAGUGGCGAAGGCGGCUUACGGGACAGUAACUGACGUUGAGGCUCGAAAGCGUGGGGAGCAAACAGGAUUAGAUACCCGGGUAGUC